GGGAUUAGGAGGGAUUGCUAAAUCACUUGGAAACUGACUUGAAAACGUAAAAACAAAGUUUAAAGCACUAAACUAGACUCAAAGAAUGUAAAACUAUACUUUAAAACACUAAAACAAACCAAAAGACUCAAAACAGCACCUAAACACUCAAAACUGCCUUAAAAACACAAUCUGGGCAGUUUUGAACACUAAGGAAGAAUUUGAACGAAAAUAAGUUAUAACUUGACUCAAGACACUUAAAAACACAAACUAAAUUGAUUUCUAACUAAUAUGACUCAACAAAAUAAAGGGGGAUUGAUUUUAGACGAAUUUGAAAACAAAACAAGAACUUUG
RNAcentral lists this long non-coding RNA (333 nucleotides) under Malus domestica (apple). RNAcentral describes it as "long non-coding RNA (MDOM_LNC003813)". The record is from RNAcentral. Lineage: Eukaryota; Viridiplantae; Streptophyta; Magnoliopsida; Rosales; Rosaceae.